Molecule: long non-coding RNA, 6550 nt
Organism: Columba livia (rock pigeon)
Lineage: Eukaryota; Metazoa; Chordata; Aves; Columbiformes; Columbidae
Exons: 2
Source: RefSeq, a predicted model, not a curated record
CAGAAAAAAAUUUCUGUGGCUGAAGGUUGCAGAAGUCCCUUGCAAAGCCAGAAAUGGAAGUCCGCAGCUAGAAAUCCUAAUCUCGAACCAUUGAGCUACCCUGGGCAGCUCUCCAUUUAUAUGGAAACACAGAUCAUAGCUGAAGGUGUUUGCAACUCAUUGCGCUGUGGAUCACAGGAGAUCUACAGUUCUCGCUGACACCUGGAGGUACAAGUACCCUUAAAAGUAUGUGAACAGUGAUCCAGAUGCAGCAAAAUCUCCGCCAGAGUAGCUGAACCCUGCUCUACUGAAGAGAUGGAAUGAGACAGCAAAGAGCCUUGACUUUGCCCACGGCACCCGCAGAGCCUGAGUGCUUCCCUGUGAGCUGGAAGGCGCUGACCUGGCAAAGCACUGUCAAGCGAAAGUGAUAGCUGCUCCUGUCACCUCCUAUCUUCUCUGCAGCUCAAGGACCAAAAGUAAAAACUCGCUGUAGAGAAGGUCCAGGGAGGAUGUCUUCAGAGUGUCUCACAGAGCCCGGUAUUGUUAUUCUCCCUACCUGCCAUAGAGGAUACAAGAAUUUGGGUCUCACUUCUCAAAAAAAUUGUAGCUGCAGCGUGAAUGUGCCUGAUAGAUGCAUUCACUGCUGGAAGGUGUUAGAUCUUUCUCACUGGUAUACGCAAAAAGGGCAGGAAACUUUGAUUGUCUCAAACAUGGAAAGUCACCAAGUCACAUUACUCCUAUUCUAAUAGGUUUCCUGUUGGCAAUCCAUAAAAUCAUAGAGGAAGUUUUUCUGACUGGUCCCACCAGAAAGAUCAGAACUACCUUGCUGAAGGAACAGGCCUGUUCUAAAUGGUGUUAAAAUUGUACAGGCAAGAUUUUGGUUUUUUUAGACAUGUUGUACUUCCCUAAUGACCAGAAUAGGACUAAUGAAUUUAAAUGCUUGGAGGAACACAGAGCUGCACAGCUUCCAGCAUCACCCAGCUGUGUUGUACACUGCUAGCUACACUGGUGAGCAGCCAUCUAAAUUGAAGCCGCCUGGGGUAGAACGCGCAGCUGGAUGUGCUAGAGAAGGUUUACCACAGGUCCAUGCCUGCUCCUUCGCUUUUAAACAUCUAUGUUUUUGUGUUAAGUUCUUCUGUGAUGAUUAUAUCUUUGUGAUGAUUAUAUCUUUGCAACACAAGUCCCCAUUUUUGCUUUGUUGAAAAGAGUCAUUACAUACUUGAUGAUUUGGAAGCUCCACUGUAACCUUUCCAAACCUUACGGCUAACAACUAACAAAAGAACAAACCCAGCACAUAACUACUUACUGUCACUUUUUGCUGCCAGCGAGAGCAAAAUAAAUCUCACAGAAGCAUACAGGCAUAGCUUUGGACUGAAGAUUUGCUUUAAAAUUAAUCUGAAAAAUAUAUAACAAGACUUUAAAACAGAUAUCUAGCCUCAUGUGAGAAUACUGGUGCUCUGAUUCACACACACCUAGAAAGAUGUGCACUAAGUGAACAGCGUUUGCACCGAGCAGGUCUCUGCUUGUGUAAAUGAAUGCAACAAUUAGAAGAAAAACUGCUGGAUCAGAAUCAACAUUAGGUCAGGGCUUAGCCUCUAUGGCACCCAUUUUGACAGGUCACCAGGCUCUUAAAGCACCUGCAGAAUCUCCAUCAAUUCUUCAGGGCCCCAGGCUGCUGGUGUCCCAGGCAGACCUCUUUCAAACAACACUACUGAAAAGCCUCUAGGCAUGAAUCCAUCCUGGAAACUAUGAUUUGCAUUGAACUGUUUCAAGAUAUUGCAGAACAGAAGAUGAGUAUGAUAUGAGCGAAAGGACUGGUCACAAGCGGCAGAUGGCAUCGUGAAUCAGUUCUGAUGACAACUUUUUGUCAAAUGUGUUUUCAACUUAACAAAAGUGACUUCCAAAACUGUCUGUUGAUAGCUCACUGUUCUGAAUUUAAUUACCCAAACAUUUCCUAUAAUUUCUUUCAACAUGGGAAUCAUGGCCUUUAGCACAAUUCUUAUCAAGAUAAUCAAGCUUUUAUUUCUUCCCAGUAGACUGGGCUAUCUGCUGUGUUAACUGGGAGAUCCCUCCAUUACAUUGUAUUAAUAGCUCUAAAGUCCAGACAAUGAGGUUACUCAAAUCCGGCAAAUACAUACUAAAUGGCAAUGUUAACAAUUUAACAAUCUAGUUACAAGCAGUAGGCUACAAAAAAAAAGUCGAGUUGUCUCUGUCUUUUCUUAGUUUUCCCCUUAAUGGUCUCAUUAGUUUUUGUAGUUGGUCAUAGUGGUUAAUGGCCUCAGCAAUAAAUACAGCGAAGAGAGGUUUUAAAUUGUCGAGGUAAAUCUGUGCUACUGGUUUGUCUUGUUAUUUUCCAUGUUGACCUCUGUUACCUUUAUUUAGGUCAUGCUCCCUUAACUUUAACUGUUUCGGAGUCUAACAGGUGAUAUCUAACUCUGAAAUAUUAAAUCUUGACCACAUACAUGCCAGGUCACUGAGUGCUCCAGGCUCCAUAAGAUGAUGUAUCAAGACCUCUAGGAUUACAGUAGCUUAAAAUCAGGAGCAUUUGAGAACAGUGACAACAAAACUGUGGUGUCUUUUCAUUUGUCUCUUGUAGUCCUGAACUUUAUUAUUCAGGUUUUGCCAGCAGCCCUAUGAUGGCCAGGGAGUCCCUUUUAAAAACACCACCACAAACCUAACAGUUUUUAUUCAAUCAUAUGAGUCUAGAAUCAGGGAGCUUAAGGGAGAAUGACAAGCAAAACAAAAAUUGCAAUCAAAUCUCAAGACUGGCGAUCAUGUGCCUGACACGAAGGUCCUUCAUCACAAUUUCAGGAUCUGUGUGCUACGAUAAAAGAUUAGUGAUAAAGAUCAUCGCAUUUUGUGCUUCCUUUCCUUUGACAGAUUUCAUGUCUGAUUCACUGUGGUGUUUAUUGAGUCCAGGGGUGUUCAGGCAGUGUACAACUGGAGUAAAACACCCAUGAAUCAUGCCUUCGACGUGCUCUUUACUGUAGCCACUAACACUUUAUAAUGUUGUCUAGAAAUCCAAAAGAAUGAUUUAGUCAAACCAUGGUUUCUAUUUCAUUUGUAUUAAACCUGGCUCUCUGCCUAAAUUCUUGGCAUUUUGAGCAGUCAACUUAAGCUAGAAUAUAUUGCUUUGUCCAUAGCAUUUGUAACCUUUAUUGAUCUGCUCAGGUAAAAGCACAGAGCAAAAGGUUUUUAUUAUUGAUGUGGAAAAUAUUACUUCUCCAUUGUUUUUCAGGCCACAAACAUCUGUCACUUUUCCUUGAUAUAUCACCUUAAGUCUUCUUUGUUCUGGUCCUAGAAAUCCCAUCUACGUUUAUUUUGUGGGAUUCAGGUGUUUUUCCAUACAGAAUCAUGGAAUAGUCUGGGUUGGAAGAAACCUUCAAAGGUCAUAAAAUCCAGCCCCCUGCAAUGAGCAGGGACAUCUCCAACUAGAUCAGGUUGCUCAGAGCCCUGUCUAGCCUGGCCUUGAAUGUCUCCAGUGAUGGGGCAUCUACCACCUCUCUGGGCAACCUGGGCCAGUGUUGCAUCACCCUUGAAUAGCUGAAUUAACACUGGCUCAUAGCACUUUCUUUGCAUCUAACUUUUGAAUACAAUAUUUUGCACGAAUACAGCUUGCCAUGCUCACCCAUCUUCUCAGACCAAUGUGAUCUUUUCCUGCAGCUUCAGGGACGCCCCUCAGGGAUUGCGCUACAUUCCCUGCAGCAGUACUGCCCCAGGGAGAACAUCCUUCUGCAGAGCACAGCAGCUCCACCACCUGCUCCUCCUCUUGUGUGCAAAGCCAAUUGGCAGCAGAGAUUGCUGUGCACAGCUUCACUUUCUGAUUUUCUCACCCCUGAUUUUAUUGCACACACCCCUCCUCUUGCUGGGCUGUGAGAGCCGAGCUUCCCCCAGCAGUGGGGAAUGGUGUAGAGGGACCCAACACCUCCACCUGCCCCAGAAGUUGUAGGUGUAUUAUCACAGCUAAUGAUUUUUGGAUUUUUUUUUUGUUUGUUUGUUUUUGUUCUGGUUGAUACUUGGUGUCUCUAGUCCCUGCAUCUGGCAGUUCCAGCUGUGCAAGUAAAAAUUUCCAUACCUGUCACAAGCCCUGUGACCCAGCAAUAGCAGGGAAGCUUGCUUGGUGCCUCCACCCUGCCAGAGCCACCAUCCCAGAUGCCCUCUUUGCUCUUAUGACUUCUGAGGCAGAAGAAGCCUCCCAAGGUUUUCGGUCAGUGCAUGGCUGUCAUGUCUGAUACACAUCAGAGUGAUACCUUCAACAAGUGCAUUUUCUUAUGCCAUUUGUUGAUUUCUCCUUUCUAAUUCCACCUGCUGAGACCCAAACUGUUGCCACAUCAGUCACAGAGGCCACAUCAGUCACUGGCUAUUAUCUGUGUCUGAGGAUAGUUUCUUUAGUUACCAGCAUUUGAAACAACUACAGAUUGUUACUUUUCUAUUUGUGUUCUCUUUGUAUGACUAUGCAUUCAGGCCAUUCAUUUUAAUUGUUCAUUCCUGUCUGGGCUAUAUGCAAGUUUGUGUAUAUGUUUGCAUAUUGAGGGUGAUAUCAUUUAUCCUUGUACAAUCAUGGUUUGUGUGCCUGUGUGCAUACAAGUAGGUUAAUGCAUUCAUUUCUUCAUACAUGUGCAGCAUGUUUCUGCCAGUGUUAGGUGAUGAUGAGCUAAUGUGGUUUGUUCUGCAUGCAGUAUGCCUCCACCUGCAUGUUAAUCCUUCUCAGCAGACUGUCGUUUGAAUCAUACAUUAUGUAAGGAAGGCAGCACUGCUUCCCAGUGGAGAACAUUUAUUUUAGGUUUUAGUUUUCAGAAAUGAAUUCAAGAUGAUACUCCAUCAUUAUGAAAGAAAAAAAAAAGUUUUCCCUGACUGAAGUAUUUACUCGUCUUGGAAGCCAUGUCAUGUGUAGCAGUGAAGAACAUCUCUAGAUCCAGUGGAUGGGAUCCAUUUCAUCUGUUAUUUGCCAUCAUAAAGUCAGACUGGUCGUCGUGGCACUUUCUGUAGUCAGUGAAGAAAAUGCAGAUCUGGAGACUCCCUCUGUAGUCAUCCCAUCCUACAACGGAUGCCUAAAGCAGUUGGGAGGACAGCAGUCUAAGGACAGAUGUUUGUAGUAGGCCACUGGAGCUUGCUGGUUUUUGCUUUUCUUAUGUAGGAGGAGAGUUUUACUCACCUCUUUAUCUGCUGAAGUGAGUUCGGGGACUCCAGAAAAGCAAAAACAGCUAAACUGAACUAGCAGCCAUUCUCUUGAUAUGUUUAAUGACCACAAUUAUCCUUGCAUGCAGUUUUUUUCAAGUCUAGACAUGGCCCACAUUGGAUGGAAGGCAUUAAAGGGAAUUGACUAGAAAAUGUGAACUGUAAAGAGCUCAGGCAUUUAAUAGCAUAGAACCUGGAUGGAAGUUUCAACAGAGGAACUGUGGACACAAGACUAACCCCAAAGCCAAAGAAAUACAGUCCCCUUGAAUUUAUGGGCUUGUAUGUGAUCCUACAGGUGAAUGAUGAUUAACUUGGAAAUAAUGAAAUAAUUUUUAGUACAGAUGCAAGGCCAACAGCUCAUGUUUGUAUCAGCCUGGAACUGCUGAGCAGACAAAUGGGACAUCAGUGCUACAGCACUGGUAAGCCUGACAUGGAACGUAAAGCAGCUAUCCCCGAAGGAAUAUGAAGAUGCUCAUUAAAAGUAAUAAGAGUCCAGGAAAUGAACAAUUAAUACCCACUUUUUUUUUAUGAUUUCCCCAGAGUAUUUGUGAAAGAUAGAAAUCCCAGGCAAAACCUCAUACCUUUUGUAGCUGUUAAGACAUAAACCAGACACAUAUUUGGACUAAGCAAAACUACAGGAUGUUUAUUAUCCAGUGGAACUAGAACACCAAAAAGGUCUUGGAAGUCUAAUAGGAUUAUUGAAUUCGAACAAAAGGGAAAAAGAUGAGCUUUUCCUUUUUUGCUUUGAUGAGCUUGAGACAAUCAGAAACUCGAUGGACUGGGGGGAACACACUUGUUUAUAAAACACAAGUUGUUUUUUUUUUAUGAGCAUCAAGUUGCUGAUAUACAUAUAAAUUAUAGAAGUGAACACUUUUUAUGUUUUAAACCUCUCUGUUUAAGUAGGAUUUUUUAUAUAUGAUCAUAUUACAGUUUAUUUUUUGCGCAGGGUACCAGAAUGGUAUAAUUUGGGGGAAGUAAUUGCCAAUACUUAUUUUUAAGGGCUGAGAUAUUUUUUUUCUUUUGGUGAGUAUUUCACUGGACUUUGGGUGGAACUGAAUCCAGAUCCAUGUUUUAAUAAGAAUGUUUUGGAUUGGUCUGAUUAUACUACUAUAAAUAUGGAAAUGCUUCAGAUUAAUACUUUUGUUUGGUUGGUUUUUUUUUACAGCAGUAAUGCCCAAUCUGUCUUAGGCAUGCCUUAUAGCUGUAGCUUUUCCUUGCCAUUAUACUAUCUUUUCCUUUUUUCCUCCAUCAUUCCAUGACCCAUGACUCCUCCAUGUCCCUGCCUUCUGAGAUCUAUAGCACUAUAAUCCCUUACUACCAAGCAGCAUGUUCUUUUUCUCUGAGAUGUGAACCUGGGAGUGAAAAAGAAAAUAAAGAAGAAACAUAAACUUAA